AUUUUACAUAUUAACCGCUAAUCUAAACAGCUAAUUUUACCAAACACUUUUUUAUAAACCGCUAAUACAAUCUGCUUGUCAAACACGCUAAUACAAUCCGCUAUCUGAUAACCGCUAACACAACCCGCUACCGCUAACCACUAACCGCUGAUAACCAAACAAGCCCUAAUUGAAAGGG
This is a long non-coding RNA of Ipomoea nil (Japanese morning glory), 178 nucleotides long. RefSeq lists it as uncharacterized. The transcript is spliced from 3 exons. Lineage: Eukaryota; Viridiplantae; Streptophyta; Magnoliopsida; Solanales; Convolvulaceae. The record is from RefSeq and is a predicted model, not a curated record.